Molecule: ribosomal RNA, 429 nt
Filed under: Fusobacteriota bacterium
Lineage: Bacteria; Fusobacteriati; Fusobacteriota
Description: Fusobacteria bacterium partial 16S ribosomal RNA
Rfam family: Bacterial small subunit ribosomal RNA
Source: RNAcentral
UGGGGAAUAUUGCGCAAUGGGCGAAAGCCUGACGCAGCGACGCCGCGUGAGGGAUGAAGGUUUUCGGAUCGUAAACCUCUGUCAGAAGGGAAGAAACCGCACUGUGCUAAUCAGCAGUGCCUUGACGGUACCUUCAAAGGAAGCACCGGCUAACUCCGUGCCAGCAGCCGCGGUAAUACGGAGGGUGCAAGCGUUAAUCGGAAUUACUGGGCGUAAAGCGCACGUAGGCUGCUUUGUAAGUCAGGGGUGAAAUCCCACGGCUCAACCGUGGAACUGCCUUUGAUACUGCUUAGCUUGAAGCCGGGAGAGGGUGGCGGAAUUCCAGGUGUAGGAGUGAAAUCCGUAGAUAUCUGGAGGAACAUCAGUGGCGAAGGCGGCCACCUGGACCGGUAUUGACGCUGAGGUGCGAAAGCGUGGGGAGCAAACAGG